CUCUUAUCACGAGAGGCGGAGGGAAUAGGCCCUACGAUGCCCGGCAACCAACAGGCUCAUGUCUGGAAAGGUGCUAAAUCCUACAGCGCGCAUUUGCGUCGCUGAAAGAUAAGAG
This 115-nucleotide non-coding RNA is filed under the name Planococcus rifietoensis. Its description in RNAcentral is "SAM-I sequence". It matches the Rfam family "SAM riboswitch aptamer (S box leader)". Rfam says of the family: The SAM riboswitch is found upstream of a number of genes which code for proteins involved in methionine or cysteine biosynthesis in Gram-positive bacteria. The record is from Rfam by way of RNAcentral. Lineage: Bacteria; Bacillati; Bacillota; Bacilli; Caryophanales; Caryophanaceae.